RNAcentral lists this ribosomal RNA (513 nucleotides) under uncultured bacterium. Its description in RNAcentral is "bacterial SSU rRNA". It matches the Rfam family "Bacterial small subunit ribosomal RNA", at positions 767 to 1283 of the family's 1533-position model. The record is from RNAcentral.
AGCUAAUAGAUACCCAGGUAGUCCUAGCUGUAAACGGUGCACGUUUGGUGUGGGAGGCAACCCCUUCCGUGCCGAAAGCUAAACGCGAUAAACGUGCCGCCUGGGUAGUACGGUCGCAAGACUAGAACUCAAAGAAAUUGACGGGGACCCGCACAAGCGGUGGAGUAUGUGGCUUAAUUCGAUGCAACGCGAAGAACCUUACCAGGGCUUGACAUGUAUUGUAACCCCGGUGAAAGCCGGGCAGCAUGGAAACAUGCGCUUUACACAGGUGCUGCAUGGCUGUCGUCAGCUCGUGUCGUGAGAUGUUGGGUUAAGUCCCGCAACGAGCGCAACCCUUAUGAUUUGUUGCCAUCGGUUCAUUCCGAGCACUUAAAUCAGACUGCCCAGAUUAACUGGGAGGAAGGUGGGGAUGACGUCAAGUCCGUAUGGCCCUUACGUCCUGGGCUGCACACGUACUACAAUGUCCAGUACAAAUUGAACCGAUACCGCAAGGUGGAGGAAAUCAACAAAACU